AAUUUCUGGUACGAUGCGCCUGGUCCACGGUCGCAAGAUCGCGAGUAUCGGAGCGUAUCUGCCAUCCUUCUAGUUAACUGGCUGUACUUUACUGUGCGGUCAGCGAUCUAGAUCUUUUACUUUGAAAAAAUUAGAGUGUUUAAAGCAGGCUUGCGCUAUGAAUACAUUAGCAUGGAAUAAUAAUCUAGGACUUUCGGUUCUAUUUUGUUGGUGUUCUGGAGCUGAAGUAAUGAUUGAUAGGGAUAGUUGGGGGUGCUAGUAUUCAAUGGCCAGAGGUGAAAUUCUCGGAUUCCUUGAAGACUAACUUAUGCGAAAGCAUU
RNAcentral lists this ribosomal RNA (320 nucleotides) under Paracercomonas sp. Its description in RNAcentral is "SSU rRNA". The stretch from base 100 to 320 matches the Rfam family "Eukaryotic small subunit ribosomal RNA", at positions 735 to 955 of the family's 1831-position model. Lineage: Eukaryota; Cercozoa; Cercomonadida; Cercomonadidae. The record is from RNAcentral.